UACGUAGGUGGCAAGCGUUGUCCGGAUUUAUUGGGUUUAAAGGGUGCGUAGGCGGCCCUGUAAGUCAGUGCUGAAAUCCCCCGGCUUAACCGGGGUGGUGGCAUUGAUACUGCAGGGCUUGAGUACAGAUGAGGUAGGCGGAAUUGACGGUGUAGCGGUGAAAUGCGCAGAUAUCAGGAGGAACACCGGUGGCGAAGGCGGGUCUCUGGGCCGAUACUGACGCUGAGGAGCGAAAGCGUGGGGAGCGAACAGG
Molecule: ribosomal RNA, 253 nt
Filed under: uncultured bacterium
Lineage: Bacteria
Description: partial 16S ribosomal RNA
Rfam family: Bacterial small subunit ribosomal RNA
Source: RNAcentral